Molecule: ribosomal RNA, 2214 nt
Filed under: Triticum aestivum (bread wheat)
Lineage: Eukaryota; Viridiplantae; Streptophyta; Magnoliopsida; Poales; Poaceae
Description: partial small subunit ribosomal RNA
Source: RNAcentral
AUGGGCUCCCUCGCCGCCGCCGACGAGCCGCUGCCUCCUCUCCGGUACCCUCCGGCCCGCCGCGACGGCGACAUUGUGGAUGACUACCAUGGCGUUCUUGUGCCGGACCCCUACAGAUGGAUGGAGGAGCUGGAGUCGGAGGAGGUGAAGGAGUACGUGGGCGCGCAGGCGGCCCUGGCGAACGCCGUGCUCGCCACCUGCGACCACCGCGGGCGCCUGCGCGGGCAGCUCACGGCGCUGCUCGACCACCCGCGCUACCGCGCCCCCUUCAAGCGCGCCGGCACCUACUUCUACUUCCACAACCCCGGCCUCCUCCCCCACAGCGCCCUCUACGUCCAGCACGGGCUGGGCGGCGAGCCGAGCGUGCUGCUGGACCCGGGCGAGCUCAGCGACGACGCCACGGUGUCGCUCUCCAUGAUCGGCGUCAGCGACGACGGCGAGCACCUCGCCUACGGCACCAGCGCCAGCGGCAGCGACUGGGUCACCAUCAGCGUCAUGCGCGUCCGCGACAGGCGCCGCCUCCCCGACGCCCUGUCCUGGGUCAAGUUCUCGCGCAUCGCCUGGACCAGCGACGGCAUGGGCUUCUUCUACUCGCGCUUCCCGGCUCCAAAGGACGACGACGGCGCGCCGGAGUCCGGGAUCAGGACCGACGUUAACCUCAACCACGAGGUCUACUACCAUUUCCUCGGAACUGACCAGUCUGACGAUGUCAUGUGCUGGAAGGACCCCGAGCAUCCAAAGUACAUAUACACCCCCGAAGUUACAGAGGACGGCAUGUACGUGCUCCUGUCAGUUUCAGAGAGUUCAGAGCCGGUCAACAAGCUGUACUACUGCGACCUCUCAGCUCUUUCCCAUGGGCUUUCAGGCAUGAAAGCAAAAGGAACCCACGAAAUGCUCCCCUUUGUGAAGCUCGUGGACGAAUUCGAGGCCUUCUACGGAGUCGUCGCCAACGACGGCACCCGAUUCACAAUCCAAACAAACAAAGACGCUCCGAGGUACAAACUGUCGCGGGUCGACGUCAACGACCCGCAGUCCUGGACCGAUGUUCUGCCUGAAGACGACAAGGCUGUCCUAGAAUACGCUUGUGCUGUCCACGGUGACAAGCUUCUGGUGAACUAUUUGUCGGAUGUCAAGUACGUGCUGCAGAUGAGGAGCCUGGCCACCGGAGAGCUGCUCCACGGCAUACCCAUCGACAUAGGCAGCGUCAACGGGAUCACCGGUAGGCGUGGCGACUCCGAGGUGUUCGUCGAGUUCUCGAGCUUCCUCACUCCGGGGAUCGUCUACAGGUGUGAUCUCAGCUCCGGGGCUCCUGAGAUGAGCAUAUACAGAGAGAUCACCGUCCCGGGCUUCGAUCGCACGGAUUUCGAAGCGAAGCAGGUGUUUUACCCGAGCAAGGACGGGACCAAGAUCCCGAUGUUCGUGGUGUCGAGGAAGAAGAUCGUCCUGGACGGGUCGCACCCGGCGCUGCUCUUCGGCUACGGCGGGUUCGGCAUGAGCAUGACGCCGCAGUUCAGCGCGGCCCGCGUCGUCCUCAUGAGGAACCUGGGGUUCGUGACGUGCGUCGCCAACAUCCGGGGCGGCGGCGAGUACGGGGAGGACUGGCACAAGGCCGGCUCGCUCGCGAACAAGCAGAACUGCUUCGACGACUUCAUCGCCGCCGGCGAGUUCCUCGUGUCCGCCGGGUACACGAGCCCGAGCCGGCUGUGCAUCGAAGGCGGGAGCAACGGCGGCCUCCUGGUCGCCGCCUGCAUCAACCAGCGGCCCGGUCUCUUCGGCUGUGCUCUGGCUCACGUCGGUGUCAUGGACAUGCUUCGGUUCCACAAGUUCACCAUAGGUCGUGCAUGGGCUUGCGAUUUCGGCUGCUCGGAGAAGGAGGAGGAAUUCCACUGGCUUAUCAAGUACUCCCCUCUGCACAACGUGAGGCGGCCGUGGGAGAAGGGCGCCGCCGGCGACCAGCAGUACCCUCCCACCAUGCUGCUGACGGCGGACCACGACGACCGCGUUGUGCCGUCGCACACGCUCAAGUUCCUCGCGACGAUGCAGCACGUCCUGUGCAGGAGCGUGGAGCAGAGCCCGCAGAGCAACCCCAUCGUCGCCCGGAUCGACCGCAAGAGCGGCCACGGCUGCGGCCGCUCCACGCAGAAGAUCAUCGACGAGGCUGCGGAUCGUUACGCGUUCGCGGCCAAGAUGAUGGGGGUCUCUUGGAUCGACUGA